AGGCCCGUAGCUUAAUUGGCAAUAAGCGUAAGACCUUUAAACACUGCCUCCAGUGUAUAAAUCUUGAGAUUGCAGGUUCAAAUCCUGCCGGGUCUU
Non-coding RNA from Tulasnella sp. 427, 96 nucleotides. The record is from the annotation of a GenBank genome assembly. NCBI's taxonomy places the organism in Eukaryota, Fungi, Basidiomycota, Agaricomycetes, Cantharellales, Tulasnellaceae.